Molecule: long non-coding RNA, 1301 nt
Organism: Aptenodytes forsteri (emperor penguin)
Lineage: Eukaryota; Metazoa; Chordata; Aves; Sphenisciformes; Spheniscidae
Exons: 7
Source: RefSeq, a predicted model, not a curated record
AGAUUUCUGUCCAUUCACCCCACUUGCCUCUUCAUCUCAUGCUGAGCUGGAUAUUUUAAUCAGCUGUGACAGCUUCACAGUUAUGGAGAUUUCAGUCUCUGUUAGGUGAAGAUCCCAGCUGCCCUUGACAACAGCCACCUCUCCAGUACACAGUGGAAAAACAUGGCAUAGUUCAAGGACAAUUCAGGAGGUUGCUGCCUGCAGCAGCAGAAGGCUGCUGAAACCUGUGAUGAGAGUGGAAGAAAGGAAUCCUCAGGCAGGCUCACAGACAAAACCUGGGCUGUCAUUGAUUCAUUGACAAAGCAGACUUGCUGCCCCUGAGGAGUCAUACCACCAGCUACCACAGGCUUUGAAGAAAGGUGAGAAUAGACAAUAGAAGAAACUUCAAGUAUGAGAUGAUACAGUUGACGGCCUUCAGGAAGAGGGAGAUAUUUCUUGUACUAAUUGAGAUCUUCAGGGAUGUGGAAGAAAUAAAUACUUUUGAAUUCAGAUUUUAGCAGUUUAUCAGCAGUGGAGAACAAAACAAUGUUUGCUAUAGGAAGACAGACAGAUGUUCUUCUAUAAGGCCUAUUCUGAUUUAAACUUCACGAGACCUCUGAAGAUAGUCUUGCAGAGCAGUCCAGAAUUUGAAAAUACUUGAGGAAGACCUGAAUUUUCUCUCCAUCUUCCUGCCUCUACACUUUCAUUAAUGAAAGAUACACCUUAACUCCUAAACAGAACAUGGUGAUAAGUAUAGCUGAUUAUACUGUUCGCUGAGGCAAAACUUCUGCAAGUGCUCCCAGGAGGUGCUCCCUAGCCCCAGCUUUGUCCUGAAGUGGUGCUGCUCUCCAGAUGUGCCCCUCUUACAGGUACGAGGCUUGCUGACUGGGGUAAGAGUGUGUCUUGUGAUCUUCUGAACUCUGUUUUGUUAGCCAUCUGAUACAUCACUUAUCUGAAAAAAUCCUCCCUCCUGCUUCUGGGAGAGUAUCUUGAGUUCUAGAGAUCAAUACAGAACAGGCCACAAACUGAGAUAGUUACAUAUACAAAUGAUACAACUUUUUGAACAUGUAUUUCUAACGAUUUAAGCUUUUGUCAUUUUUUUGAUAAAUACUUCUGUAACUCUCUGAAGAAAAACUUCAUUAUUAUAGAGGGUUUCACAGGAAACAAGGAAACUCUCUUUCAGCCAUUAAAAGAAGUGAUACAUCAGACGUAAGCAGAAUUAAAAUUACCCCAAUGUUGUUCAUUGGAGUCUAGUUUCUUAUUUAUAUCCAGUCACUAAAGGAAAACAAAUUAUUUGCAAGCAUUUCACUUCAGUGUAGCAC